RNAcentral lists this transfer RNA (69 nucleotides) under Spironucleus salmonicida. RNAcentral's name for it is "tRNA-Phe". It matches the Rfam family "tRNA". Rfam says of the family: Transfer RNA (tRNA) molecules are approximately 80 nucleotides in length. Their secondary structure includes four short double-helical elements and three loops (D, anti-codon, and T loops). The record is from Rfam by way of RNAcentral. Lineage: Eukaryota; Fornicata; Diplomonadida; Hexamitidae.
GGGCUAAUAGCUCAGCUGGAAGAGCGCAUCGGAAAGAUGGUGACCGGGGUUCAAGUCCUCGUUAGUCCA